This 497-nucleotide ribosomal RNA is filed under the name uncultured bacterium. Its description in RNAcentral is "partial 16S ribosomal RNA". It matches the Rfam family "Bacterial small subunit ribosomal RNA", at positions 28 to 507 of the family's 1533-position model. The record is from RNAcentral.
GAUGAAUGCGGGCGGCGUGCCUAAUGCAUGCAAGGCGAGCUAACAGACGAGGAGCUUUCUCCUCUGACGUUAGCGCCUGACGGGUGAGUAACACGUUGAUAACCUCCCUAUAAGACUGGGAUAACUUCGGGAAACCGUAUCUAAUACUGCAUAAGAUAUUUAACCUCAUGGCUCAAUAGUGAAAGAGGGUGUUGCUGUCACUUAUGGAUAGCUCCGCCCCGCAUUAGCAAGUCGGUAAGGUAACGGCUUACCAAGGCAACCAUGCGUAGCCGACCUGAGAGGGUGAUCGGCCACACUGGAACUGAGACACGGUACAGACUCCUCAGGGAGGCACAAGUAGCGAAUCUUCCGCAAUGGGCGAAAGCCUGACGGCGCAACGCCGCGUGAGUGAUGAAGGUCUUCGGAUCCUAAAACUCUGUUAUUCGGGAAGAACAAAUGUGUAAGUAACUAUGCACGUCUUGACGGUAGCUAAUCAGAAAGCCACGGCUAACUAGGUG